RNAcentral lists this ribosomal RNA (430 nucleotides) under uncultured Syntrophaceae bacterium. RNAcentral describes it as "bacterial SSU rRNA". It matches the Rfam family "Bacterial small subunit ribosomal RNA", at positions 355 to 776 of the family's 1533-position model. The record is from RNAcentral. Lineage: Bacteria; Pseudomonadati; Thermodesulfobacteriota; Syntrophia; Syntrophales; Syntrophaceae.
UGAGGAAUCUUGCGCAAUGGGGGAAACCCUGACGCAGCAACGCCGCGUGAGUGAGGAAGGCCUUCGGGUCGUAAAGCUCUGUCAGGUGGGAAGAAAUCGAUGAAGGUGAACAACCUCCAUCAUUGACGGUACCACCAGAGGAAGCACCGGCCAACUCCGUGCCAGCAGCCGCGGUAAUACGGGGGGUGCAAGCGUUGUUCGGAAUCAUUGGGCGUAAAGAGCGUGUAGGCGGCCAGGUAAGUCAGAUGUGAAAGCCCUGGGCUUAACCCAGGAAGUGCAUUUGAAACUGCUUGGCUAGAGUAAGGGAGAGGAAAGUGGAAUUCCUGGUGUAGAGGUGAAAUUCGUAGAUAUCAGGAGGAACACCGGUGGCGAAGGCGACUUUCUGGCCCUAUACUGACGCUCAGGCGCGAAAGCGUGGGGAGCAAACAGG